UACGUAGGGUGCGAGCGUUGUCCGGAAUUACUGGGCGUAAAGAGCUCGUAGGUGGUUUGUCGCGUUGUCCGUGAAAACUCACAACUCAAUUGUGGGCGUGCGGGCGAUACGGGCAGACUGGAGUACUGCAGGGGGAGACUGGAAUUCCUGGUGUAGCGGUGGAAUGCGCAGAUAUCAGGAGGAACACCGGUGGCGAAGGCGGGUCUCUGGGCCGAUACUGACGCUGAGGAGCGAAAGCGUGGGGAGCAAACAGG
Molecule: ribosomal RNA, 254 nt
Filed under: uncultured bacterium
Lineage: Bacteria
Description: partial 16S ribosomal RNA
Rfam family: Bacterial small subunit ribosomal RNA
Source: RNAcentral